RNAcentral lists this ribosomal RNA (556 nucleotides) under Staphylococcus aureus. RNAcentral describes it as "bacterial SSU rRNA". It matches the Rfam family "Bacterial small subunit ribosomal RNA", at positions 10 to 548 of the family's 1533-position model. Lineage: Bacteria; Bacillati; Bacillota; Bacilli; Caryophanales; Staphylococcaceae. The record is from RNAcentral.
AGUUUGAUCCUGGCUCAGGAUGAACGCUGGCGGCGUGCCUAAUACAUGCAAGUCGAGCGAACGGACGAGAAGCUUGCUUCUCUGAUGUUAGCGGCGGACGGGUGAGUAACACGUGGAUAACCUACCUAUAAGACUGGGAUAACUUCGGGAAACCGGAGCUAAUACCGGAUAAUAUUUUGAACCGCAUGGUUCAAAAGUGAAAGACGGUCUUGCUGUCACUUAUAGAUGGAUCCGCGCUGCAUUAGCUAGUUGGUAAGGUAACGGCUUACCAAGGCAACGAUGCAUAGCCGACCUGAGAGGGUGAUCGGCCACACUGGAACUGAGACACGGUCCAGACUCCUACGGGAGGCAGCAGUAGGGAAUCUUCCGCAAUGGGCGAAAGCCUGACGGAGCAACGCCGCGUGAGUGAUGAAGGUCUUCGGAUCGUAAAACUCUGUUAUUAGGGAAGAACAUAUGUGUAAGUAACUGUGCACAUCUUGACGGUACCUAAUCAGAAAGCCACGGCUAACUACGUGCCAGCAGCCGCGGUAAUACGUAGGUGGCAAGCGUUAUCCGG